CCUACGGGUGGCAGCAGUGAGGAAUAUUGGUCAAUGGACGAGAGUCUGAACCAGCCAAGUAGCGUGAAGGAUGACUGCCCUAUGGGUUGUAAACUUCUUUUAUAAAGGAAUAAAACGAGGCACGUGUGCCUUUUUGCAUGUACUUUAUGAAUAAGGAUCGGCUAACUCCGUGCCAGCAGCCGCGGUAAUACGGAGGAUCCGAGCGUUAUCCGGAUUUAUUGGGUUUAAAGGGAGCGUAGAUGGGUUGUUAAGUCAGUUGUGAAAGUUUGCGGCUCAACCGUAAAAUUGCAAUUGAUACUGGCAGUUGUGAGUACAGUUGAGGUAAGCGAAAGUCGUGGUGUAGGGGUGAAAUGCUUAGAAAUCACGAAGAACCCAGAUUGCGAAGGCAGCUUACUAACCUGUGACUGAAAUGGAUGCUCGAAAGUGUGGGUAUAAAACAGGAUAAGAUACCCGAGUAGUC
RNAcentral lists this ribosomal RNA (460 nucleotides) under uncultured bacterium. RNAcentral describes it as "partial 16S ribosomal RNA". It matches the Rfam family "Bacterial small subunit ribosomal RNA", at positions 338 to 795 of the family's 1533-position model. The record is from RNAcentral.